RNAcentral lists this long non-coding RNA (481 nucleotides) under Capsella grandiflora. RNAcentral describes it as "long non-coding RNA (CGRA_LNC000355)". Lineage: Eukaryota; Viridiplantae; Streptophyta; Magnoliopsida; Brassicales; Brassicaceae. The record is from RNAcentral.
GAGCGUUAUUGGUCUGGUCCUUGGUUAUGUCACAAGCCUCAUUGUUGAUCUUGCCAUCUUGAUCGAGGUUCGUUUAGAGUCUCACUGCUGGAGUUAUCAUAUUUUUAUACAAGAGUGCUUAAACUUUUAGUUAAACAUCUGUUUGAAUGCAAUCAUCGGUCAAAUAGUUAAAUGUUCAAUUUCCAAAAUGCAAAUGCAGGGAAAGGAGGAAACCGUAUCAUUGGAGGGUUGAAAUCUGAUCACAUUUCCUUUCGUAAACUCAUUGAUAUUAGAGAACAAACAAUGCCAACCCUUUCGCCAAAUCGAGACCAAAAAAGAAAAGACAAUUGAACAAUAAAAGAUUUCUUCUUUUGUUUGAGAGAUGUUCUUUACCUAUAUAAUUUAAAGCAUCAACAAAGGAUAUGUACUUUUGUUGCCACAAAACAUUUAAAGAAGCAUAUGCAUAUGUAAACAACCAGAAAUGAGAAUUAUUGAUUUUCUU